Molecule: RNA transcript, 6741 nt
Organism: Corythoichthys intestinalis (scribbled pipefish)
Lineage: Eukaryota; Metazoa; Chordata; Actinopteri; Syngnathiformes; Syngnathidae
Gene: grk4
Gene name: G protein-coupled receptor kinase 4
Exons: 17
Source: RefSeq, a predicted model, not a curated record
GGGAGGAGGAAGAGGGACAGGGAGGAGAGAGAGCAGAAGCAGGAAGGAAGGCAAGCGCAGGCGGAGAGAAGGAAAGAGAGGCAGGCUGUGAAUGCUAACAAGCCCCGUGGUAAUCGUCCACUGCUUCCCAAACGUGUUGUAAUGGGGAGAAACGACUGGUAUUAUUAAGCUAGCUACUAUGCACGAGCGCCUCGAUCUCCUCCCCGUGCGCGUGCUGCUGCCUGGCAGCCAUCGGCACGUUUGAUUUUACGAUUAAAACAGAAAAAAGCAAGCAAGAAAUCGUCUUUUACCCCCGCGGAGUGAAAUGUAUCGCGACUGCUCUGGGACCACAUUGUGACAAUGGAGAUUGAAAACAUCGUGGCCAACACGGUUCUCCUCAAGGCGAGAGAAGGUGGAGGAGGGAAGAGGAACGGUCGCAGUAAGAAAUGGAAGGAGAUGCUAAAACUACCACAUAUCAGCCAGUGUGAGGAGCUGCGUCGCAUUAUUGAAAGGGACUAUACCAGUCUAUGUGAGAAGCAGCCCAUCGGCCGGCUUCUAUUUCGUCAGUACUGUGACACCAGGCCAGAGCUGAAGCGCUGCAUCGAAUUUAUGGACGCUGUGGCCAUGUAUCAGCUAGCUCCUGAUGAGAAGCGGAGGGACUGCGGAUUGAAUGUUUUAGACACUUACUUCAAUAAUGGGUCAGCAGCCCAUUUGCCUGGUGUACCCCAAGAUGUGGUCGCUGGGUGCCGGGAAAGACUUGAACAAAGUCCUUGUAAGGAGCUCUUCAAUGACUGCACCAAAAUAGUUCGUGAUUAUCUAAGUGGCGCACCGUUUUCCUCCUACCAGGAGUCCAUGUACUUUUCUCGCUUCCUGCAGUGGAAAUGGUUGGAAAGGCAACCAGUAACCAAAAAUACCUUCCGACAUUACAGAGUACUAGGAAAAGGUGGAUUUGGCGAGGUUUGUGCCUGCCAAGUGCGCGCCACCGGUAAGAUGUACGCCUGUAAAAAGCUGGAAAAGAAGCGAGUGAAGAAAAGAAAAGGUGAAGCAAUGGCACUAAACGAAAAACGAAUUUUAGAAAAAGUUAACAGUAGUUUUGUAGUUAGUUUAGCAUAUGCCUAUGAGACCAAGGAUGCUCUGUGCCUGGUGUUGACAAUAAUGAAUGGUGGUGACUUAAAAUUCCACAUCUACAACAUGGGCAACUCUGGCUUUGACGAGCAGAGAGCCAUCUUUUACGCUGCUGAGAUCUGCUGUGGCCUUGAAGACCUGCACCGUGAGAGAAUAGUCUACAGGGAUUUAAAACCUGAAAACAUCCUUUUGGAUGAUCGUGGGCACAUACGCAUUUCAGAUUUGGGUCUUGCUGUGCAAAUUCCUGAAGGAGAGACGAUACGAGGGAGAGUAGGCACUGUUGGAUACAUGGCUCCUGAGGUAAUCCAGAAUGAGAGUUACACCUUCAGUCCAGACUGGUGGGGUCUGGGUUGUCUCAUCUUUGAGAUGAUCCAAGGCCAGUCGCCCUUUCGUAAGCGCAAGGAGCGUGUCAAGCGGGAGGAAGUGGACAGACGGGUGCGUGAGGAUCAGGAGGAGUACUCAGAAAAGUUCUCCGAAGAAGCAAAAGAUAUCUGCCGACAGCUGCUGGCUAAAGAUCCUAAGAGUCGUCUUGGUUGUGGGGGUAGCGGCGCCAUAGAGGUCAAGCAGCAUUCUAUCUUCAGGAACAUCAACUUCAAACGAUUGGAGGCAAACAUGCUAGAACCUCCUUUCAGUCCUGAUCCACGUGCUGUGUACUGCAAAGACGUCCUUGACAUCGAGCAGUUCUCCACUGUCAAAGGUGUGAACCUUGACCCCACCGAUGAUGACUUCUACCACAAGUUUGUCACAGGAAGUGUCUCCAUCCCGUGGCAGAAUGAGAUGAUUGAAAUGGAGUGCUUCAAAGAAAUCAAUAUCUAUGAGACUGAUGGGACAUUAUGUCCAGACCUAGACAUGAACCGGCCUAACCCUCCACCAAAGAGAGGCUUCUUCUACCGCCUGUUCAGAAGAGAGGCAAGUGCUAGUGCUCCAGCAACUCUUCGAGGGGGUGGGGGCUAAGCUUGGCUUCUAGUACCUAUUUCUGACGUCCUUCUGAACAUGCUUGCGAUUGCUUCCUUUGUUAAUGCAGGUGUGUUUUAAGAGCGGUUACAGCGAUGAUGAGUUCGAAGAGCCCUCACGACUUUAAGCCACUCUCUUCGCCCCCCAAAUCCACCCCUCGCUGAUCUUCACCAUAAACUCCAGCGAGUGCAAAUUUUAGGAACUCAGUGAAUGUUGACCUGUAUUUAUGAGCUGUAUUAAAAGUGUAUUAUAAUUAAAGAAAAAAGUAUGAGUUUAAAGAUUUUGUACCUUUGUACUUGAAUUUAUGUCUAGAUGUAUAUUUUCACUAAAGGUUGUAUUGUAUAAAAAGCCAUAAAAGUACCACUUGAAUGCAUACAUUACAUUUUCAUUUUGUCUUUGGGAAUGAGUAUGGAUAAUGUUUCUAUGGGCAGUUUUUUUUUUUCUUUUCCAGAAGCACAGUACCAUUUGUCUUUUUUCAAUGUAGCGUAAGGCAUUUAACUCUCAUUUUACAUGUGCUCUAUGUUUAGCAUUGAUUUGAUGACUUUUUUUUUUUUUUUUUUUAAUGAAUCUCAAAUCAAUCCCAAAUCCAAUCCAAUUCCUCAUUAAUCCCUGUGGCUCAGGUAGAUUUAAAUGAAUUCUUUCAAUUAUAGAGAAAAUAAUAUGUUAAUAAUUGCUGUUUUGCCACCGACCAGUUUUACAGCACAUCACACUCCAUCCCCCAAGUCCUUCCUGCCCCCACCUCUUGAUUGUUGGUGAGUUAUGGAACUCCUAACAAUUUGUGCAGAUCUUGACACCAUUUUUUAACGUUUGGCUAGCAUGGGUUCCAAUUGCCUAUGUAAACUUGUGCCGAGCAGAUAACCCCCACCCAACAGUUUUUGGUCAAUGUCCAACAAAAUGCCCUCUCUAAUCCAAAACAUUUGAAUUCAGAGUCUUGGACAGUAGUCAUUUCAGAUGUCUGACCUUUCCCCUCUGGAACACAAUUUUUAGAAAAAACUACAUUAACAGGCAAAACCUAUUUAUCACUACUCACUAAUAAUAAUUAUCAUUUUAUGUUUUUUCCCUCCCAUCCCCUUUCAAUAUUUUGUGGUCCAACCUUUUUGAUGGCAUAGUAUGACAACUCUAACCAACAGUUGACAAUUAUUUCUUGGUAAACCACCUCUGUUGAAUGAAAAAUCAUAGACUUCUCUAUCAGUUGGCGGGGCUCAGGGCCGAUCCGUAGGGGGCCUAUUUCAAAAACUUAAAAUUGAAAUAUUUUAAAAGUCAAAGCCGCUAGCAGCCUAGAACCUAAACAGACACCUCCCUUAGGCAUAUAUGAGUCUCCAUGAGCAGCGACAUAAAUAAAUUCAAAGUCGCUCCCUAAUAAAAUCCUGAUUAGUUAUUUUUCUGUACAAGUAUAACAAAACUUGAUUGCUAUAAAUGGCUAUAAAAUUCUCAAAUUUUACGCUAGAUACACGCAAAUGAUAAUCACCUAUAUUUUCAGGAUCAAUAGCAAUAUUUUACAUAAGUUUUUGCCCAAAAUAGCAACUUGUUUUUUGUUUUUUUUAAUUUAGUACAAGUUUUUAAUUUUCACAUCAGAAACUUAAUACAUAAGGAAAGCAUGUACAACCAUCCUAAUUUUACUCAAGAAAAGCAAAAUUUGCAUUUUUCUAUAUACAAUCACAACUUAUUUGGGUGAAAUUCCACUAUUGUGUAGAGAUACAAAAUCCAACAUGUAACAUAUAUUUUCUAGAUCAAUUAACAUAUAAAUUUUUGCCUUAAGUAGCAACUUAAUUUUUUUAUUUAGUGCAGUUUUGACAUAGGUUUUAAAAAGCUAAUAAAUCACUCAAUUUUCACCUCAGAAACAAUAUUUGAUUUUUCUACAUACAAACACAACCUAUUUAGGUUGAAUUCCGAUGUCAUUAUUGCCUCAUCUCUUCUUGCCGGCUAUCUGGCCCUCGUCGUUUUAGAUGUUACAUAAAAUAAAACGCAUAAAAGCGAAAAAAAAAAAAAGUUUUGUAUGGAUACAGAAAUGUCUAAAUUACUAGUUUAUUUAACAAACAAACAGGCAGUUGGCUGAAAAUUACCAGAUUAUUUGAAAUCCAAAAUGGCGGCUAUCACAAAACAAAGAGCUUUUUAAAGUUGAAAAUUCUAAUAAAUAAAUGCUUAAAUCGCGAACUUUCUACAGAUAUGAACACAAAACAGUGUAGAUUCUUGGUUAAAAGCAAAAAACCGGGCAGUUAUCAUUCAUUUUACGUAAGUAUUUCAAGCUAAAGUUACAGCACUGUGUAAUCUAACAUGGCUGCCGUCACGAAACAGAACUUUUUAGGUUGAAAAUUCUUGUAAAUAAAUGCUUAAAUCGCUGACUUUUUACAAAUAUGAACGUAACCGUCUAAAUUCUCGGUUAAAAAGCAAAAAAACGUGCAGUCAUCGUUCUUUUUAAGUAGAUAGUUCAAGCAAAAGUUUCGGUAUUGUGUAAUCCAAAAUGGAGGCCGUCACGAAACAAAGAGCUUUUUAAGUUGAAAAUUCUUGUAAAUAAAUGCUUAAAUCGUGGAAUUUCUUUAGAUAUGAACGUAAAACACUCUAAACUCUUGGUUAAAAGCAAAAAAACGGGCAAUUAUCAUUUAUUUUACGUAAACAUUUCAAGCUAAAGUAAGGCUAAUUGUUUCCCUUGAUUUCAUUGUAUUCGCAAUGUUUCAAAGUACAUGCAUGGAAUGAAAAAUAUAGUAAUUUCCUUGAAUCCUCCAACAAAUCAAUCUUCCUGCCUUCUUGUAUGCAGUAAAACAUUUGUCCUAUUUCAACUUAAAUCCGGCGUUAGAACGCUGCAUGUUUGAGUUUAUCACAGUGAAACCCAAUUCAACUUCUGCCUAGGUCCAGCCCCCUACGGGAAGGCGUGGCGCAAUGUCUGUGGGAGCUGUCUUGUCAACUGAUGGUGGAGUCUAUAGAAAAAUCUACCAUCAUUCUGUCAUUAGCUAGUAGUCUGCACAGAAGCAAAAAUAGAGCUUUUGUGCAGUAAAAUAAAUAGUUGACCACAUACAGUAUCCUACUAGUAGAGAAUGUGCAGCUAUAUUCAGUGACUUAAACUGUGUUUAUGCUAGUUCAAGAGAACUUUGUUGUAAUAGUGCACAAUGUUUACUCUUCAAUGUAAGGCAUACAGUAGUAUGUAAUCGCCUAGAAUUGACUUUGAGGUGCGUUCUUAUGUGUUGAUGACGGCAGAACUGCAGAAUUUGAAACCCCCUUGACUUCCAACAAAAUUGACUGCAGGGCUUAUUUGAUUUAAUUCUAAUUCGGACCUGAUUUCCAUUUGUGUGGUUGAUGUCAGAUUUAAUUUGAAGUUUGGAGAUGUCCUUUUGAGGUGGUCAAAGUCAUUUCCGACCAUCUAGUUUUAAUGCUGUGAAUACUCCGUUGAUCCACAUUAGCUUUCUGUGUACAAUGUGUCAUUAAAGUGCAGCUUUUGUUCAGUUCAAAGCAUAAAAUCAAAUUUGAUCAAAAGUAUAGGGAUCAAUGCUGUUUGUUGUGUCAUCGAGGGACUUUAAUUUGUGUGCACAGAAUUUCCGUAAUAUAUGUGAAUGCGUGUGCAUAUAUAUCACGCCUUCUUAUUUGGUAUUCUCUUGACCCUCUUCCCCCAUCUUCCCCACACACACGCGCACACACAAAUGUCCGCCAUGCACAUUCCAUUUUGAUGAUUCAAAUGUGCCAUGUAUCUUUUGCUGGAAUUUUUUUUUUUUUUCUUUCAAUAUGUUGCUCUCAGGCAUGCUCUGAAGCUGACUCUUUUGCCUUUGUAGAUUUUAGCCUUUUUAGUACUUCUAACCUCAAAAACUAUGUAGAUUUGAAACUAAGCUGUCAACCUCAGUUGCUCUCAUGGGGAAACUGACUGCACCGUAGUCACCGGCAAUGGUCAGUAUUUACUCCUUCACCUAACAUUCAUUGCACUAGGAUGUAUAGUUUUUUUUGCCAAUGAUACCAAAAGAAAAUUGAAUAAAAUGUAUAUUAUCUGAAAAAUUAAGUCAAGUCAGACCAUCUUCAUAGUUUGUGCCAUUUGCAAGAAGUACAUUUAUGACACCUUUCACCCUCUUCAUGCAUCUUUCCGUCCAUUUUAAGAGGAAAUCUUUCACAUACAGAAACUUUUAAACUGCUCAAAGGUUUUGAAUGUCCGCACUAAGUGCAUUGUUAAUGCCUGUUUUAAAGAACUAUGUUUUAUUGCGCAAGCAUGUAUUGGUUUGUAAUACAUCAGGUUCCUUGUAUAUGUAUAUGAUGACUUUUUAGUGCCAACAUAUCUCUUGUGUCUGGGGACAGUUUAAAAUGACAAAGUGACCUGCAGAGAUGGCCUCAUUUGAAUACAUGGAAUGCUUUCCAUCUCUGAUUGGGAUUCAACAUUUCCAAACUCGGAACAGCCUCAGCAGUAAGACUUAAGGGGGAAAUAUUGGGUCUGGUCAAAGGAAGCCUGGAGAACCACUUGGGUUUUUUGUUCUGUCAAGAUGUGCCAGUGGGAUGAUUAUUCAAGGAACGCUUUGCUUGUAUUCCAACCUGGCUAGGACUUUUUAAUUUUUCUCCCCUUUUAUACCUGUACAGUCAUCUUGUUCAACCACUGCAGUCAUUGUUAAUUCUUGUACAAGUUGUAUCACUGGUUGUUGUACCAUAUCUUACAUUUGUAAUUAUGAAACAAUACACUGCCAUUUGUAUAAAAUAUACCUGUGUCCUGACUAA